AUCGGUUCUCAUGGUAGAUUAAAAGGGAAUCGGGUGAAAAUCCCGGACAGUCCCGCUGCUGUAAGUUCCGACAAAAGCUCGGGCCGAACAGAGCCACUGACAACUGCCAAGGUUGUCGGGAAGGCCGCCCGCUAAGAGCUGGAACAAGUCAGAAGACCUGCCGGUGCGUC
RNAcentral lists this non-coding RNA (170 nucleotides) under chicken gut metagenome. The record is from RNAcentral.